GGUUUGGUGGUCUAGUGGUAUGAUUCUCGCUUAGGGUCCACCCUAUUCAUGUUUGCGAGAGGUCCCGGGUUCAAUCCCCGGCCAAACCC
RNAcentral lists this transfer RNA (89 nucleotides) under Daldinia decipiens. RNAcentral describes it as "tRNA-Pro". It matches the Rfam family "tRNA". Rfam says of the family: Transfer RNA (tRNA) molecules are approximately 80 nucleotides in length. Their secondary structure includes four short double-helical elements and three loops (D, anti-codon, and T loops). The record is from RNAcentral. Lineage: Eukaryota; Fungi; Ascomycota; Sordariomycetes; Xylariales; Hypoxylaceae.